AUUGAACGCUGGCGGCAGGCCUAACACAUGCAAGUCGAGCGAGCGGCGGACGGGUGAGUAAUGUAUGGGGACUGCCCGAUAGAGGGGGAUAACUACUGGAAACGGUGGCUAAUACCGCAUACUAUCGGAUAACCCAUAUGGGAUUAGCUAGUAGGUGGGGUAAAGGCUCACCUAGGCGCCGAUCUCUAGCUGGUCUGAGAGGAUGAUCAGACACACUGGGACUUAGACACGGACCAGACUCCUACGGAGGCAGCAGUGGGGAAUAUUCCACAACGGGCGCAAGCCUGACGGAGCCAUGCCGCGUGAAUGAAGAAGGCCUUCGGUUUGUAAAAUACUUUCAGCGGGGAGGCGUUACCCACAGAAGAAGCACCGGCUAACUCCGUGCCAGCCGCCGCGGUAAUUC
RNAcentral lists this ribosomal RNA (403 nucleotides) under uncultured bacterium. Its description in RNAcentral is "partial 16S ribosomal RNA". It matches the Rfam family "Bacterial small subunit ribosomal RNA", at positions 30 to 526 of the family's 1533-position model. The record is from RNAcentral.